AUUGAACGCUGGCGGCAUGCCUUACACAUGCAAGUCGAACGGCAGCGGACCUUCGGGUGCCGGCGAGUGGCGAACGGGUGAGUAAUAUAUCGGAACGUACCUUUCAGUGGGGGAUAACGUAGCGAAAGUUACGCUAAUACCGCAUAUUCUGUGAGCAGGAAAGCAGGGGAGUCGCAAGACCUUGCGCUGAUUGAGCGGCCGAUAUCAGAUUAGCUAGUUGGUGAGGUAAAGGCUCACCAAGGCGACGAUCUGUAGCGGGUCUGAGAGGAUGAUCCGCCACACUGGAACUGAGACACGGUCCAGACUCCUACGGGAGGCAGCAGUGGGGAAUUUUGGACAAUGGGCGCAAGCCUGAUCCAGCCAUGCCGCGUGAGUGAAGAAGGCCUC
This 387-nucleotide ribosomal RNA is filed under the name uncultured bacterium. RNAcentral describes it as "bacterial SSU rRNA". It matches the Rfam family "Bacterial small subunit ribosomal RNA", at positions 30 to 418 of the family's 1533-position model. The record is from RNAcentral.